This 598-nucleotide long non-coding RNA is filed under the name Gallus gallus (chicken). Its description in RNAcentral is "long non-coding RNA NONGGAT004097". The record is from RNAcentral. Lineage: Eukaryota; Metazoa; Chordata; Aves; Galliformes; Phasianidae.
GAAAAAUGAAGUGAACUUUAAGGCAGAAGAACAGAGGCAGUGAAGGUGUGACAAGAUUAAGACCAAGAUGGAGAAAGACGAAACCAGAGUUUCAGAGCUCUUGAGGACACCACAUGCCCAUGACCCUGCAGAAGAAACUGGAAAAACACCACUUCAACUUGUAAUUGGAUACAAGGUAAAUGUUUACUGUGCUUACCUACCUUGUUGGUCAAAGGCUUGCAGGCUGAGGACUUCCUACCCUGCAAGCAAUUGACUGCUCUGUCAUGUCUGCAGUCCUCCUCUGCCUGAACAUUUUUCUAUUGAUCGUGACUAUGGAUUAAGUCUUAGAGGGUACUGCAAUUGCUUCAUUCCUUAUUCAUCCCACUUAAAUUUUUGUUUGAUGUUUAUGCACUAAGUCUACAUCAAUGUGCUCAAAGUGGCUGCAGAUUUGUGGCAUGCAAUACCUUUUGAAAACAGCAACAACAAAAAAGAAAAUAUAACACAUUCUCUUCCAUGUAUAAGAUUCAUGUAUUGCAGGACUAUCACUGACUGUACCUCAGGUUACUACACUGUUAGUUUUUGGCUUUCCUUUAACAUUACUUGAAACGAUAGGUGCAAA